Molecule: ribosomal RNA, 301 nt
Filed under: uncultured bacterium
Lineage: Bacteria
Description: partial 16S ribosomal RNA
Rfam family: Bacterial small subunit ribosomal RNA
Source: RNAcentral
CAGUCGCCACGGUAAUACAGAGGGUGCGAGCGUUAAUCGGAUUUACUGGGCGUAAAGCGUGCGUAGGCGGCUUUUUAAGUCGGAUGUGAAAUCCCUGAGCUUAACUUAGGAAUUGCAUUCGAUACUGGGAAGAUAGAGUAUGGGAGAGGAUGGUAGAAUUCCAGGUGUAGCGGUGAAAUGCGUAGAGAUCUGGAGGAAUACCGAUGGCGAAGGCAGCCAUCUGGCCUAAUACUGACGCUGAGGUACGAAAGCAUGGGGAGCAAACAGGAUUAGAGACCCCCGUAGUCCCUGUCUCUUAUAC